RNAcentral lists this ribosomal RNA (330 nucleotides) under uncultured eukaryote. RNAcentral's name for it is "partial 18S ribosomal RNA". It matches the Rfam family "Eukaryotic small subunit ribosomal RNA", at positions 1470 to 1796 of the family's 1831-position model. The record is from RNAcentral.
CCCUUAGAUGUCCUGGGCCGCACGCGCGCUACACUGAGUGUCUGAGAUACGAGUCUGCCUGGUCCGGCAAGGUCUAGGUAAUCGCUAAAAGACACAUCAUGCUUGGGAUAGAUUAUUGCAAAUAUUAAUCUUGAACGAGGAAUUCCUAGUAAGCGCAAGUCAACAGCUUGCGUUGAUUACGUCCCUGCCCUUUGUACACACCGCCCGUCGCUACUACCGAUUGAAUGGCUUAGUGAGGCCUUCGGACUGGCUCAGGGAGGUCGGCAACGACCACCCAGAGCCGGAAAGUUCGUCAAACUACGUCAUUUAGAGGAAGUAAAAGUCGUAACA